Molecule: ribosomal RNA, 253 nt
Filed under: uncultured bacterium
Lineage: Bacteria
Description: partial 16S ribosomal RNA
Rfam family: Bacterial small subunit ribosomal RNA
Source: RNAcentral
UACGUAGGGGGCAAGCGUUGUCCGGAUUUAUUGGGCGUAAAGAGCGUGUAGGCGGUUCGGUAGGUCCGUUGUGAAAACUCGAGGCUCAACCUCGAGACGCCGAUGGAAACCCUCGAACUAGAGUCCGGAAGAGGAGAGUGGAAUUCCUGGUGUAGCGGUGAAAUGCGCAGAUAUCAGGAAGAACACCCGUGGCUAAGGCGGCUCUCUAGUACGGUACUGACGCUGAGACGCGAGAGCGUGGGGAGCGAACAGG